RNAcentral lists this ribosomal RNA (497 nucleotides) under uncultured bacterium. RNAcentral describes it as "partial 16S ribosomal RNA". It matches the Rfam family "Bacterial small subunit ribosomal RNA", at positions 28 to 507 of the family's 1533-position model. The record is from RNAcentral.
GAUGAACGCUGGCGGCGUGCCUAAUACAUGCAAGUCGAGCGAACAGACGAGGAGCUUGCUCCUCUGACGUUAGCGGCGGACGGGUGAGUAACACGUGGAUAACCUACCUAUAAUACUGGGAUAACUUCGGGAAACCGGAGCUAAUACCGGAUAAUAUAUUGAACCGCAUGGUUCAAUAGUGAAAGACGGUUUUGCUGUCACUUAUAGAUGGAUCCGCGCCGCAUUAGCUAGUUGGUAAGGUAACGGCUUACCAAGGCGACGAUGCGUAGCCGACCUGAGAGGGUGAUCGGCCACACUGGAACUGAGACACGGUCCAGACUCCUACGGGAGGCAGCAGUAGGGAAUCUUGCGCAAUGGGCGAAAGCCUGACGGAGCAACGCCGCGUGAGUGAUGAAGGUCUUCGGAUCGUAAAACUCUGUUAUUAGGGAAGAACAAAUGUGUAAGUAACUAUGCACGUCUUGACGGUACCUAAUCAGAAAGCAACGGCUAACUACGUG